AAUCAACGCUGGCGGCGUGCCUAAUACAUGCAAGUCGAACGCGAAAGUCCCGCAAGGGAUGAGUAGAGUGGCAAACGGGUGAGUAACGCGUGGGUGACCUGCCUUCGAGUGGGGGAUAACGUUUCGAAAGGAACGCUAAUACCGCAUGACAUCCUGCUUUUUAACAGGCGGAGAUCAAAGCCGGGGAUCGCAAGACCUGGCGCUUGAAGAGGGGCCCGCGUCCGAUUAGCAGUUGGUGGGGUAAUGGCUCACCAAGGCAUCGAUCGUAA
This 269-nucleotide ribosomal RNA is filed under the name uncultured bacterium. RNAcentral's name for it is "partial 16S ribosomal RNA". It matches the Rfam family "Bacterial small subunit ribosomal RNA", at positions 32 to 285 of the family's 1533-position model. The record is from RNAcentral.